CGAGAAACCAAAAAACAGAAUAAGACAACAACGGCCGUUAAAUAAAAAAAUAUUCAAAAAGGCAGAAAAUCAGUUAAAAUAUAGCAAUUUUAACUCAAUUUUGAAAUGGUUUUUAUCCAAUCCAUUGAUUUAACAAGUCGCAUAACUUUUUAGGCUAAUAUUCAGUACCACAAUAACUCUGCAUCUAUCAACGGAUUAUUUGUAGGUGUAGGGCCACCUAUG
Molecule: long non-coding RNA, 222 nt
Filed under: Mytilus galloprovincialis (Mediterranean mussel)
Lineage: Eukaryota; Metazoa; Mollusca; Bivalvia; Mytilida; Mytilidae
Source: RNAcentral